Molecule: ribosomal RNA, 468 nt
Filed under: uncultured bacterium
Lineage: Bacteria
Description: partial 16S ribosomal RNA
Rfam family: Bacterial small subunit ribosomal RNA
Source: RNAcentral
GACGAACGCUGGCGGCGUGCUUAACACAUGCAAGUCGAACGGAAAGGCCCUGCUUUUGUGGGGUGCUCGAGUGGCGAACGGGUGAGUAACACGUGAGUAACCUGCCCUUGACUUUGUGAUAACUUCAGGAAACCGGGGCUAAUACCGGAUAGGAGCUCCUGCUGCAUGGUGGGGGUUGGAAAGUUUCGGCGGUUGGGGAUGGACUCGCGGCUUAUCAGCUUGUUGGUGGGGUAGUGGCUUACCAAGGCUUUGACGGGUAGCCGGCCUGAGAGGGUGACCGGCCACAUUGGGACUGAGAUACGGCCCAGACUCCUACGGGAGGCAGCAGUGGGGAAUAUUGCACAAUGGGCGGAAGCCUGAUGCAGCAACGCCGCGUGCGGGAUGACGGCCUUCGGGUUGUAAACCGCUUUCGCCUGUGACGAAGCGUGAGUGACGGUAAUGGGUAAAGAAGCACCGGCUAACUACGUG